This 381-nucleotide ribosomal RNA is filed under the name Plasmodium reichenowi. RNAcentral describes it as "partial 18S ribosomal RNA". It matches the Rfam family "Eukaryotic small subunit ribosomal RNA", at positions 583 to 906 of the family's 1831-position model. The record is from RNAcentral. Lineage: Eukaryota; Apicomplexa; Aconoidasida; Haemosporida; Plasmodiidae.
UUCCAGCUCCAAUAGCGUAUAUUAAAAUUGUUGCAGUUAAAACGCUCGUAGUUGAAUUUCAAAGAAUCGAUAUUUUAGAGUAACUAUUUUAGGGGAACUCUUUUUUGGCUUCACGCCUUUAAAUUGCUUUCUCCUAUUAUUAUGUUCUUUAAAUAAAAAGGAUUCUUUUUAAAAUCCCCACUUUGCUUUUGCUUUUUGGGGAUUUUGUUACUUUGAGUAAAUUAGAGUGUUCAAAGCAAACAGUUAAAGCAUUUUACUGUGUUUGAAUACUACAGCAUGGGAUAACAAAAUUGAACAAGCUAAAAUUUUUUGUUCUUUUUUCUUAUUUUGGCUUAGUUACGAUUAAUAGGAGUAGCUUGGGGACAUUCGUAUUCAGAUGUC